GAUGAACGCUAGCGGGAGGCCUAACACAUGCAAGCCGAGCGGUAUUGUUUCUUCGGAAAUGAGAGAGCGGCGUACGGGUGCGGAACACGUGUGCAACCUGCCUUUAUCUGGGGGAUAGCCUUUCGAAAGGAAGAUUAAUACUCCAUAAUAUAUUGAACGGCAUCGUUUAAUAUUGAAAGCUCCGGCGGAUAGAGAUGGGCACGCGCAAGAUUAGCUAGUUGGUGAGGUAACGGCUCACCAAGGCGAUGAUCUUUAGGGGGCCUGAGAGGGUGAUCCCCCACACUGGUACUGAGACACGGACCAGACUCCUACGGGAGGCAGCAGUGUGGAAUAUUGGUCAAUGGGUGCAAGCCUGAACCAGCCAUCCCGCGUGAAGGACGACUGCCCUAUGGGUUGUAAACUUCUUUUGUAUAGGGAUAAACCUACCCUCGUGAGGGUAGCUGAAGGUACUAUACGAAUAAGCACCGGCUAACUCCGUGCCAGCAGCCGCGGUAAUACGGAGGGUGCAAGCGUUAUCCGGAUUUAUUGGGUUUAAAGGGUCCGUAGGCGGACUUAUAAGUCAGUGGUGAAAGCCUGUCGCUUAACGAUAGAACUGCCAUUGAUACUGUAAGUCUAGAGUAUAUUUGAGGUAGCUGGAAUAAGUAGUGUAGCGGUGAAAUGCAUAGAUAUUACUUAGAACACCAAUUGCGAAGGCAGGUUACCAAGAUAUAACUGACGCUGAGGGACGAAAGCGUGGGGAGCGAACAGGAUUAGAUACCCUGGUAGUCCACGCCGUAAACGAUGCUAACUCGUUUUUGGGCUUUAGGGUUCAGAGACCAGGCGAAAGUGAUAAGUUAGCCACCUGGGGAGUACGCUCGCAAGAGUGAAAACUCAAAGGAAUUGACGGGGGCCCGCACAAGCGGUGGAUUAUGUGGUUUAAUUCGAUGAUACGCGAGGAACCUUACCAAGACUUAAAUGGGAAUUGACAGCUUUAGAAAUAGAGCUUUCUUCGGACAAUUUUCAAGGUGCUGCAUGGUUGUCGUCAGCUCGUGCCGUGAGGUGUUAGGUUAAGUCCUGCAACGAGCGCAACCCCUGUCACUAGUUGCCAUCAUUCAGUUGGGGACUCUAGUGAGACUGCCUACGCAAGUAGAGAGGAAGGUGGGGAUGACGUCAAAUCAUCACGGCCCUUACGUCUUGGGCCACACACGUAAUACAAUGGCCGGUACAGAGGGCAGCUACACAGCGAUGUGAUGCAAAUCUCGAAAGCCGGUCUCAGUUCGGAUUGGAGUCUGCAACUCGACUCUAUGAAGCUGGAAUCGCUAGUAAUCGCGCAUCAGCCAUGGCGCGGUGAAUACGUUCCCGGGCCU
RNAcentral lists this ribosomal RNA (1346 nucleotides) under uncultured bacterium. RNAcentral describes it as "bacterial SSU rRNA". It matches the Rfam family "Bacterial small subunit ribosomal RNA", at positions 28 to 1381 of the family's 1533-position model. The record is from RNAcentral.